GGAAGGUCCCCCACACUGGUACUGAGACACGGACCAGACUCCUACGGGAGGCAGCAGUGAGGAAUAUUGGUCAAUGCCCGGAAGGCUGACCCAGCCAAGCCGCGUGAAGGACGAAGGUGCCAAGCAUUGUAAACUUCUUUUGUCAAGGGACAAAAUCAGGCUCGAGAGCCUGACCGAGGGUACUUGAAGAAAAAGCAUCGGCUAACUCCGUGCCAGCAGCCGCGGUAAUACGGAGGAUGCGAGCGUUAUCCGGAUUUACUGGGUUUAAAGGGUGCGUAGGCGGACUGUUAAGUCAGCGGUAAAAGCCCGGGGCUCAACCCCGGCGAGCCGUUGAAACUGGCUGUCUUGAGAGGUCGAGAGGUAUGCGGAAUGCGCAGUGUAGCGGUGAAAUGCUUAGAUAUUGCGCAGAACUCCGAUUGCGAAGGCAGCAUACCGGCGGCGAUCUGACGCUGAGGCACGAAAGCGUGGGUAUCGAACAGGAUUAGAUACCCUGGUAGUCCACGCAGUAAACGAUGAAUACUGGCUGUGUGGCCCGACAGAG
This 541-nucleotide ribosomal RNA is filed under the name uncultured bacterium. RNAcentral's name for it is "bacterial SSU rRNA". It matches the Rfam family "Bacterial small subunit ribosomal RNA", at positions 298 to 837 of the family's 1533-position model. The record is from RNAcentral.